GUCUACGGCCAUACCACCCUAAACAUACCCGAUCUCAUCUGAUCUCAGAAGCUAAGCAUCAUUGGGCCUGGUUAGUAGUUGGAUGGGAGAAUGCACAGGGACUUCGAACU
Ursus americanus (American black bear) is the source of this 110-nucleotide ribosomal RNA. Lineage: Eukaryota; Metazoa; Chordata; Mammalia; Carnivora; Ursidae. The record is from Ensembl.